GGAGAGAUGGUACUGAGCGGUCGAAGGCAGCGGUCUUGAAAACCGCCGAUGGGAAACCAUCCUAGAGUUCGAAUCUCUAUCUCUCCGCCA
This 90-nucleotide transfer RNA is filed under the name Providencia rettgeri. RNAcentral describes it as "tRNA-Ser". It matches the Rfam family "tRNA". From Rfam's summary of the family: Transfer RNA (tRNA) molecules are approximately 80 nucleotides in length. Their secondary structure includes four short double-helical elements and three loops (D, anti-codon, and T loops). Further hydrogen bonds mediate the characteristic L-shaped molecular structure. tRNAs have two regions of fundamental functional importance: the anti-codon, which is responsible for specific mRNA codon recognition, and the 3' end, to which the tRNAs corresponding amino acid is attached (by aminoacyl-tRNA synthetases). tRNAs cope with the degeneracy of the genetic code in two manners: having more than one tRNA (with a specific anti-codon) for a particular amino acid; and 'wobble' base-pairing, i.e. permitting non-standard base-pairing at the 3rd anti-codon position. The record is from RNAcentral. Lineage: Bacteria; Pseudomonadati; Pseudomonadota; Gammaproteobacteria; Enterobacterales; Morganellaceae.